AUUGAACGCUGGCGGCAUGCUUUACACAUGCAAGUCGAACGGUAGAGGGGGCAACCCCUUGAGAGUGGCGAACGGGUGAGUAAUGCAUCGGAACGUGCCCAGUCGUGGGGGAUAACGCAGCGAAAGCUGUGCUAAUACCGCAUACGAUCUCUGGAUGAAAGCGGGGGACCGAAAGGCCUCGCGCGAUUGGAGCGGCCGAUGUCAGAUUCGGUAGUUGGUGGGGUAAAGGCACACCAAGCCAACGAUCUGUAGCUGGUCUGAGAGGACGACUAGCCACGCGCGGACUGAGACAGGGCCCAGACGCCAACGGAAGGCAGCAUGGGGGAAUUAUGGACAAUGGGCGCGAGCCUGAUCCAGCAAUGCCUCGUGCGGGAAGAUGGCCUUCGGGUUGUAAACUGCUGUUGUACGGAACGAAAAGGUCUGGGUUACUACCCUGGGCACAUGACGGUACCGUAAGAAUAAGCACCGGCUAACUACGUGCCAGCAGCCGCCGUAA
RNAcentral lists this ribosomal RNA (496 nucleotides) under uncultured bacterium. Its description in RNAcentral is "partial 16S ribosomal RNA". It matches the Rfam family "Bacterial small subunit ribosomal RNA", at positions 29 to 523 of the family's 1533-position model. The record is from RNAcentral.